CGGCCGGCCGCGUCGGGCGCGCAGGCAGGAAGGGACGCCGGCACGCCGCACGGCCGCGCCGCUGCCCGCUGCGGUCUGCGGACGCGCAGGGCCAGAGCGGCCAGGGCCUUGUCGCAUGGCGCCUCGGCUGCUGCCGCCUGCCGGUGCAGCGGUGCUGCCUCUGUGUGCUGGCGUGCUGCGCCGUGCCGCAGACCGCAGUGCAUGGACUGGGAGCAGAGCAGUAGAGUAAGCACUGAGCAAGUGAGCAGUGAGCAAUCGGUGGGAAUUCUUCUUGCAAGUCAAGCGGAUAUCAUCACUUAUUUUCAAGGCACGAAGGAUUCGGAAAGUUGUCUUAUAAAUUUUAAGCUUUCUUAUCAUUAUGUUAUUUUUUGCUUUAAUAUGCCAAACAACUAGUACUUAGUAUGUUGGAUAAUUUCAAGAUUUGUCCAAUUCCAUGUUAAAUGUAUUGUGAUCUUGUUGUGCAUACUCAAUUUAUAUGUCCUAAAUAUUAAAAAUUAUUGGUA
This is a long non-coding RNA of Panicum virgatum (switchgrass), 503 nucleotides long. RefSeq lists it as uncharacterized. NCBI's taxonomy places the organism in Eukaryota, Viridiplantae, Streptophyta, Magnoliopsida, Poales, Poaceae. The transcript has 2 exons. The record is from RefSeq and is a predicted model, not a curated record.